GUGAGGAAUAUUGCGCAAUGGGGGCAACCCUGACGCAGCGACACCGCGUGGGUGAGGAAGGUCUUCGGAUCGUAAAGCCCUGUCAGAAGGGAAGAAGUGCGGCGCGGUCAACACCCGCGCCGUUUGACGGUACCUUCAAAGGAAGCACCGGCUAACUCCGUGCCAGCAGCCGCGGUAAUACGGAGGGUGCGAGCGUUGUUCGGAAUCACUGGGCGUAAAGGGCGCGCAGGCGGCCUGUCAAGUCAGGUGUGAAAGCCCACGGCUCAACCGUGGACGUGCAUUUGAAACUGGCAGGCUUGAGUGUCGGAGGGGAAAGUGGAAUUCCCGGCGUAGAGGUGAAAUUCGUAGAUAUCGGGAGGAAUACCGGUGGCGAAGGCGACUUUCUGGCCGAACACUGACGCUGAGGCGCGAAAGCGCGGGGAGCAAACAGGAUUAGAAACCCGAGUAGUCC
RNAcentral lists this ribosomal RNA (451 nucleotides) under uncultured bacterium. RNAcentral's name for it is "bacterial SSU rRNA". It matches the Rfam family "Bacterial small subunit ribosomal RNA", at positions 354 to 796 of the family's 1533-position model. The record is from RNAcentral.